AUACGUAGGGUGCGAGCGUUGUCCGGAAUUACUGGGCGUAAAGAGCUCGUAGGUGGUUUGUCGCGUCGUCUGUGAAAUUCCGGGGCUUAACUCCGGGCGUGCAGGCGAUACGGGCAUAACUUGAGUACUGUAGGGGAGACUGGAAUUCCUGGUGAAGCGGUGAAAUGCGCAGAUAUCAGGAGGAACACCGGUGGCGAAGGCGGGUCUCUGGGCAGUAACUGACGCUGAGGAGCGAAAGCAUGGGUAGCGAACAGGAUUAGAUACCCUGGUAGUCCAUGCCGUAAACGGUGGGCGCUAGGUGUAGGGGUCUUCCACGACUUCUGUGCCGUAGCUAACGCAUUAAGCGCCCCGCCUGGGGAGUACGGCCGCAAGGCUAAAACUCAAAGGAAUUGACGGGG
RNAcentral lists this ribosomal RNA (398 nucleotides) under uncultured bacterium. RNAcentral's name for it is "partial 16S ribosomal RNA". It matches the Rfam family "Bacterial small subunit ribosomal RNA", at positions 523 to 918 of the family's 1533-position model. The record is from RNAcentral.